GCAAAGUCUCCUGGGAGGGUUUAUAUGUUAAGCUCUGUCAGUAAUUUCUCCCCUAGCAAGAAUGAGGAAGAUGAAGAGCUCGGGUAUCUGAGGGCUGGUGUGUCUGCAUGCGUGUGUGUUUUGGGGGCCGACUGAAGGAAGAGAAGGCUGGAGAGAGGGAACAUGGGUCUGAGGGCACAUCGCUAAGGGGUCAAGAGGCCUAAAGGAGGAGUCUAAGGCUCUCCAUCGAACUUGGACUUGGUCUACAUUAGACUUUAACCUCCAUGAGGCUUGGACUUUCAGGCUUCCUCCCUCACACCGCGGGCAGGUGAGGCGUCUGCUACAGGCCUGGUCUCGCAGAGGGGGCCCAGCGCCCCCCGCCGCCGCCUUCUCCUGGAGUCUGUGUGACAGAAUGGGACCUGUGGGAAAGCAGCACGUCAGCACCCAGCCCCGCUUGCGCGCCAGCAGCUAAUUAAAGCCAGGAAGGUGAUGGCGAUUUUCAACUCAUUCCCGUUACAAACAGCCGACCUUCCUACCGAGUUCAAGUACCUUCUGCCUGGCCUGGAAGAACAAUAUCUCUCUGUCUCCCUCUUCCACUGGCCCUCACCUGCCUUCCCCUGAACAUGCAUUUUGCCUGACAGGAGACAGAGGCAGUUGAGAUGGAGUCUUGCUAUAUGGCCCAGCUGGUAAUGCCUAGAUUCUUGAGUCCCUCCCUGGCUCAUCCCUGGGAGCAGCACUGAACCCCUUGUCUGACACCUGUCUGGAAAUGGAGCCUGCACAUUGACCCUAGAUGCUUGCAGCUUGGUCCAGGAGGCCAGCAGGACCAGAGAGAAGACCACAGCGACACAUGGGGAUGGCUGUCCCACAGGCAGAAAUGAGCAGCCGGGAGGAAGCCCAGGCAGCCAGCCACCCAGCUCCCUCCACAUCGUGGCCCUAGAACGGAGUCUUGAAGAAUAAGAAGCCACAGCUUGUCAGGGAAUCAGGCUGGAAAAAUGUUAUGAGACUGAGUAAGACCAGAGUUUCUGGGUCAUUGGUGAGACUGGAUU
This 1025-nucleotide long non-coding RNA is filed under the name Homo sapiens (human). Its description in RNAcentral is "non-protein coding LINC01605:9". The record is from RNAcentral. Lineage: Eukaryota; Metazoa; Chordata; Mammalia; Primates; Hominidae.